This 415-nucleotide ribosomal RNA is filed under the name uncultured prokaryote. RNAcentral describes it as "bacterial SSU rRNA". It matches the Rfam family "Bacterial small subunit ribosomal RNA", at positions 505 to 918 of the family's 1533-position model. The record is from RNAcentral.
GUGUCAGCAGCCGCGGUAACACGUAGGGGGCGAGCGUUGUCCGGAAUCAUUGGGCGUAAAGAGCGUGUAGGCGGCCCGGUAAGUCUGCUGUGAAAUCUUGGGGCUCAACCCCAAGCUUGCAGUGGAUACUGCCGGGCUAGAGGACGGUAGAGGCGAGUGGAAUUCCCGGUGUAGCGGUGAAAUGCGCAGAUAUCGGGAGGAACACCAGUAGCGAAGGCGGCUCGCUGGGCCGUUCCUGACGCUGAGACGCGAAAGCUAGGGGAGCGAACCGGAUUAGAUACCCGGGUAGUCCUAGCCGUAAACGAUGGGCACUAGGUGUGGGGGGAGCCGAAUCUCUCCGUGCCGAAGUUAACGCGAUAAGUGCCCCGCCUGGGGAGUACGGCCGCAAGGCUAAAACUUAAAUGAAUUGGCGGGG